RNAcentral lists this ribosomal RNA (253 nucleotides) under uncultured bacterium. RNAcentral's name for it is "partial 16S ribosomal RNA". It matches the Rfam family "Bacterial small subunit ribosomal RNA", at positions 524 to 776 of the family's 1533-position model. The record is from RNAcentral.
UACGUAGGGUGCAAGCGUUAAUCGGAAUUACUGGGCGUAAAGCGUGCGCAGGCGGCUUUGCAAGACAGAUGUGAAAUCCCCGGGCUUAACCUGGGAACUGCGUUUGAAACUACAAGGCUAGAGUGUGGCAGAGGGGGGUAGAAUUCCACGUGUAGCAGUGAAAUGCGUAGAGAUGUGGAGGAACACCGAUGGCGAAGGCAGCCCCCUGGGUUAACACUGACGCUCAGGCACGAAAGCGUGGGGAGCAAACAGG